CCCAAUACCCCUAGGCUUCCCCCACUCACGUGGAUUCCCUUUUCUUAACCAAUUCACGAAAAGACAAAAAAGAGAUAUACAGAUGGACACUAACACAACAAUACAGAGAAGGGGGGGACCUUUCCAUUUUUAGAAUUCAAUUCACUAACACACGGUGGAAUCCUCACACUCCAUUUUUCCAUAUAUACAUUGAUUCCUUCAUCUCCAGAUAUACAUACGUACACCUGACCACACUCUCAAAGAGAACACAUACUACACACAGAGAAUAGAGGGCCUUUGUUGAAGACGCCAUUUUCCUUUCCUUUUUCUUCUUUGCACACACCCAAUUUAUAUACACAUUGGACACGCUAUACAUACAUAUUCACUCUCAUUAUCUAUACCUCACGGAUUCCACACCUGAGGAGAAGCUCCAUUUUUGUUUUCAAUUCAAAGAGAGCUAUGAACACACGGAUCACAACAUUCACACACACGAGACAUACAUACUCACAGAUAGCAACGCAGAAGAGGGACCUCCAUUUUUCUUAUUAUUCACUGGAUUCCAUUCACAAAAUCACACACCCAAUCGGAGAAAACCAGUGAGGGUGAACGGAGAGAGAAGGUGAGGAUGGUGGCUUGAGAGAGAAGCAAAACUCGAGAAAAAAAAAAAGAAAUAUUGGGAAAUCGUGGAGGAUGAACGAAAUCCAGCCAGUGUUGAUUUUUACGGCGAAUUUCUCGCCGGAAAAAUUCACUUUUCGUCACCGCCGACUUAAAUCUGUUUCUCGUCGCCAGAAAACAAGAACCAAAAGCCAAUUCCUCAUCGAAUUCGGCCUGUUUGAUUCGAUUUCCGCGAAGUUCUCUCAUACGGUUUUGGGUUUUAUCACGAUUCCUGUUCCGGGUGCUCGUGGGUACGUUUUGGAUUCCUGUUCAACUCAUACUUUGGGAUUUUCAUGAUCGAGUUGGCUCGCAGUUGAGAUAUUGGUACCCGUUGAGGUUAUUGGACGCGGAUUCUACCGGGAUAAUCGGAAUAUUACAUCGAUUUUGAAAGCGGUAUUGAGGUCUAAUUCUAUCUUCUCUCCCUUUAAUUUCUACGUGAAUGUGAAUAAUUUGUUGUUUGACAUGUUUGAAUCUUUGUUGUGUGUUGGUUGAUGUUAGAUUUGAAUGUGAAAACAUGGAUUGGUAGUCUAAGAAUUGAUUAAUUAUUUUGAGAAUGAAUUCGGGAUGGGGUUGGUUUUGAUGGAAGAGUAAGGUUAGUUAUUUUGAUUCAUUGAAGAUUAUUUAAUUCAGAAUAAGUGUUGAUGUUGUUAAACGCAAUAACAUCAUGAUGGAUUGAAAUUGAUAGGCAAACAGUAGGCUACCCAGUAGGCUCGGGUAGGCAAAUUUAGGAAUGGUGUUUUGUUGAAUGUUUGAAUGUGAGUGUAAAUGGUUCUUUUUACUUUAUCGCAAACUGAAAGUGUAAUCAUUUAGUCGGGGAAUGCCCUGAUGUCAUUUGUACUUAUUCAUCGAGGAAUACCCUGACGUAUUAUGUAUGCAAAGGAGGUUAGUGAUCAAGGCCCGAGACAUCUGGUAAAGUUUCAUACUAGCUGAUAUACUUCAUAAAGUGACCGUGAUCGAACCAUGGGUCCGAGGGAUGCCUAACACCUUCCUUUCGGUCAACAAAAUUCCUUAUCCGGAAUCUCUGUUCGCGGAUCAGUUUUAAAGUCAAAUCAUUUUGAAAAAGGAUUUUCAAAGGUGAGAUGACACACCCGAUUUAUGUCAAGUGGAGACUCUGAGUUAAUCGUAAAAUGAAUCUUUUUUGAAAUAAAAUUUUUAUUUUUUAUCAGUUUAAUAAUAAAAACUUUUUUCAAACUUCAAAAUAAAUAUCUUCUUGGUCAAAAAAGGGGUGUGAUAGAGGGGGUGGGGGUGGAGAGAAGGGAUUAAACUUUAGAAAAUCCUAAGCAAAAAGGUAUACGAAAUCACUUGAUGUUAUCUUUAUAUUCUCUAUUAUAUGUUAAUCGUACUCAAAUUAAAAUAGAAAAAAAAUAUUUAUUGUGCAUAACAUGCUAUGUAAAUGUGAAUGGGCAGGUACAUUUUUGAGUUUCUCUAUAUAAGAAACAAAUUCUCGUCAUUUUUCUUCAACUUAGGGUCUUGAUUUCCACCCACUAAAAUUAUUUCUUACUAAGCUAUUUUCUAUAUUUUUAGAUGUUGUUUUAGCUAAGGCCCGUCUACUCUCCUCUCACAAAAUAUCAUUAACUUUUUUUUUACGUACAUCUUUGAAUUUCUUAAGAUUUUCUUAAUUCUAUCCCAUUUUGAUUUUGUAAUUAACUAGAUAUAAUUAUUAUAUGGAUCUUAAAUGGAUGAUAACAAUAAGUGUUUAGGAGUGGUUAUAAUAAAUUGUGGCCUUGAUAGAUCUAGUAACGUUGUAACCCCUAAUUCAGUCUGAGUCUUUAAAUUUGAUGUUGUCAAAAGUAUUGAUCAUAUGAUUUUCAAAUUUAGAGACUCAGAUACUAAAUUACGGGCUACAAUGUCACUAGGUCUACAAAUGCCACAAUUUCUUAUAACCGCGCCUAAACCCUCAUGUUAUCAUCCAUUUCAGAUCUAUAUAAAAAGAAAUUAUAUUUAGUUAGUUACAAAAUAAAAAUUGGAUAGCAGUAAGAAACACAUAAGAAAUUCAAAGAUGUACUUAUAUAAAAAGCAAAUGAUAUUUUGUGAGAAGGGAGUGGAGGGGUCUUAGCAAAAACAACAUCUAAAAAUGGAGAAAAUAGCUUAGUAAGAAGAUGAUUUGAGUGGGUAGAAAAUUCAAGAUCUGAGAUGAAAAAAAAUGACGGAAAUUUGUUUAUUAUUUAAAGAAACUCAAAAGGGUAGCUACCCAUCCUGCACAUCUACAUUCACUUAGCAGGUAAUGCAUAUAAAGUAUUUUCUUUCUAUUUUAGGGUGAGUACGAUUGACAUAUACUAGAGAAGAUAAAAAUAAUAUUAAGUAAUUUCGGGUACCUUUAUACUUAGGAUAUUCAAAACUUUAAUCCCUUCUCCCCCCUCCCCCUACCACACACAUCCAUACUAGCGAUACUAAUAAGUCUUUAGAUCAAAUAGUCAAAUUGAUAUAAAAUGUUAUAUGUAGUUAGUUACAAAAUGAAAAUGGGAUAGAAGUAACAAAGAUUAAGAAAUUCAAAGAUGUACUUAUUGAAAAAUCUAAUGAUAUUUUGUGAGAGGGGAGUGGAGGAGCCUUAGUGAAAACAACAACAUCUAAAAAUAGAGAAAAUAGCUUAGUAGAAAAAUGAUUUGAGUUGGUGAAAAAUUCAAGACCCAAAUAUGAAGAAAAAUGACAAGAAUUUAUUUAUUAUAAAGAGAAACUCAAAGGCGUACCUACCCAUUUUGCACAUCCACAUUCAUUUAGUAUAUAAUGCACAUUAAAUAUUUUCUUUCAGUUUUAGGGUGAGUAUUGUAUAUACUGGAGAAGAUAAAAAUAAUAUCAAUUAAUUUUGUGUACCUUUUUGCUUAGGAUUUUCAAAAGCUUAAUUCCUGACCCCCCCCCCCCCUCCCCCACUCACACACAUCUAAAUUCGCGAUACUAAUAAGUCUUAAGGUCCAAUAGUCAGAUCUAUAUAAAAAAUAAUAUCUAGUUAGUUACCAAACGAAAAUGGGAUAGAAGUAAAAAAGAAAACUUAAGAAAUUCAAAGUUGUGCCUAUAGGAGAACCUAAUUAUAUUUUGUGAGGGGAGUGGAGGGGCCUUAGCAAAAACAACAUCUAAAAAUGAAGAAAAUAGCUUAGUAAGAUAAUUAUUUGAGUAGGUGGAAAAUUAAAGAUCCUGAGAUGAAGAAAAUGAGUAGAUUUUGAUUAUUAUAAAGAGAAACUCAAAGGCGUACUUACCCACCGUGCACAUCCAUAUUCACUUAGCUUCUAAUACAUAUUAAAAAUUUUCUUUCUGUCUUAGGAUGAGUACGAUUGGCUUAUACUAGAGAAGAUAAAAAUACUAGCAAGUAAUUUUGUGAACUUUUUUGCUUAGGAUUUUCAAAAGUUUAAUCUCUUUCCACCUCCCCCCAACCAUACGCAUCCAUAUUCGCAAUACUAAUAAGUCUUAAGGUCGAAUAGCCAGAUCUAUAUAAAAAAUUAUAGCUAGUUAGUUACAAAAUGAAAAUGGGAUAAAAGAAAGAAAACCAUAAGAAAUUCAAAGAUGUACUUCUAAAAAAGCUAAUGAUAUUUUGUGAGAGGAGAGUGGAGGGGAAUUACCGAAAACAACAUCUAAAAAUAGAGAAAAUAAUUUAGUAAGAAAAUGAUUUGAGUGGGUGGAAAAUUCAAGACCCUGAGAAGAAGAUAAAAUACGAGAAUUUGUUUAUUGUAUAGAGAAACUCAAAAGCGUACCCACCCAGCCCUGCACAUCCACAUUCACUUAUCAUGUAAUGCACAUUAAAUAUUUUCUUUCUUUUUUCGGGUGAGUACGCCUACAAUACCCUUAAUCUUUGCAUCUCUCAUAGUUCUCCAAGUCCCCUAGCACGAAACCUUUGUACCCCUCGUCGUUCAAAUGUUUAUGGAAAUAGAACUACCACUUCUUGUUAAUGAGGGUAUCCUUAACCAACACUGUACCAUCCUUCCCCUUGAUGCACUUCACUUGGUUAAGGUCACGAGCCCUUCUCUCCCUAGCCUUGGCAAGCCUAUACAACUUCUUAUCCCCGCUUUUCUUCUCUAAAGAUUCAUACAAGCUCUAAAAAACUAUUUGAUUAGCCAUUGUAACCGCUAACUUAGCCUCUCUUCUGGCUACCUUGUACUCCUCCCUAUUCGCCUUCCUCUCGUCAUUAUCCUUGCUCUUAAACAACUUAGCGUAAGCCACCUUCUUAAUCUCCAUUUUCCUUUUAACUUCUUUGUUUCACCAGCAGUCCCCCCGGUACUUUCCAGAUCAGCCUUUCGAGAUACCCAACACCUCUCUAGUGGUCUCUCUAAUGCAACGGGCAGUCGUUUUCUACAUACUAUCCACAUCCCCUCUACUCUCCCAAGCCCCCUAGUUAUUAACUUCUCCCCAAUUUAUAAAGAACUAGCCAAAAUCAAGUUACCCUACUUAAUUCUGAGCCUAUCCUCCACUCUUCUCUUUUUUCUGUCCCUACUGAUUACUAAGUCCAUCACCAACAACUUAUGUUGAUUCGUAAGAUUCUCCGUAGGUAAGACUUUAUAGUCUCUACAAAUCUCUCUUUCACCCUUCCUAAUUAGCAAAAAGUCUAUUCGUGUCUUGGCCACCAAACUUCAAAAAGUAAUAAGGUGCUCCUCCAUCUUUAGAAAGCUAGAAUUUACCACUCACAACCCAAAAGUCCUAGGAAAAUAAAAAAGAGAAGCUCCUCAUUCAUUUCGUUCCCCAAAAUCAAAACCUUCAUGCACAUCUUCAUAACAUCUCGAUAAAGACAAAAUAUGCCUAUUUAAAUCCCCUCCAACGAAAAGCAUCAUCUCCGUGCUUAGAACUCCUUUGACCACCUCAUCCACACCCUCAUAAAAGUUCCUCUUCUCCUCCUCAUCCAGUCCUGCUUGUGGAGCGUAGGCACUAAUAACAAUCAAAGUAGACCCUCCAAUGACCAAUCUAAUCAAAAUCAACCUAUAGUUAACCGCUUAAACUCCACAACAUGCCCCUUAAGCUCUUCAUCUACUAAGAUACCUACUCUAUUCUUAUGCCUCAUGAUACUCGAGUAUCACAACUUAUACCUGUCCACAUCCCUCGCCUUAGAGACUACCCAUUUAGUUUUCUGGUCACAAGCUAUACUAAUCCUCCCUUUCCUAAGAAUCUUCACGAGCUCUAUGGACUUACCUUGAAGAGUCCCUAUGCUCCAAGACCCAAUUCUCAACUUGGAAUCUCCCUCAGCCCACCUAACCCAACUACCCCUAACUCGCAACCCCUAACUCGAUCCUAGACACACCCCUAACCCAUUCCCAGACCUAAACCCUGUCCUCACCCUAUACCCUAAUCUCUACCCCAAACCCAACCCCGAUCUAGAACAUGACCCUACUUUACCAUUUUCCACCAAAAUCACUACUCAAAAGGAUCGAGAAAAAAAUGAGCAAAUAGGUUGGGCUAAAAAUGAAAUAGGAAAUGCUAAAAAGACACAAAGGUAACAAUGAGAAAACUCUACAGGAAAAAAUCAAGAAACAACCACGUAUGCCCAGGACCAUAAAAACAAUAAAUUAUAACAAAAGUUUGACAAACAACAAUCAAUAACAAGAACUAUACAAGUCAGAAUAACUCUGUUCACCUUUAGAAAGUAACCUCAACACAAGCAAAGAAUACCAAAACAUACCACACAGUAAAUAGAUAUACUAGUCUCAACUAACUCCUACUCUAUAAUAGAGAAAUAGGAACGGAUAAUCCACAAAAACAGUCAAGAUAAAUAACAAGAAAUCAAGAGAGAAAGGACUGAAAAAUAUGUAUCCGCCUUUAAUUAAUUAGGAACCUAGACCAGAUAAACUAGAAGAGAUAAAACUAGUGCACCUGAUCCUAUGAGAGGAUGAAGUGAGGAUGUUUUCAUGAUCUUUUCGUCGGAUUCGAGCAAGUUGGUGGAGAAAUAGGUCGCCAGAAUGUUGCUGCCACCGCCUUUACCUACGACUGAUAUCGGCCCUAAACAUGAACGUCAAAAAAUAAAUUUGGUUACCAAAAAUGUAUGUUGCGAUAUAUCGAAAAACCCUAGUUUCGGAGUAUUUCCGCCAGAGCUUCACUAGAAGGCCUUUGGAAAAUAGAUCUGGGUUACCAUUGUUGCUUGGUCAUUUCUGGAUCAUCAAUUUCGACAGAGGAAUUACUUUUUAUCUGACUAAAAAAUAUGGGGUAUCGGCGGAGAUGGUGGUAACCAGUUGGAGAAAAGGGCGGAGAGAGAGAAUGAAUAGGAAAGAGAAAUGGGUUGAAAAGAUCUGAUAGAAUAUUACCGUACCUACCUCCGGCUAGAGUGAUAGCGCCAGACUCAACUGUUGACCGCCGACACUCGUUAAGGAGCAUUACAGAGAGAUGUUUAAAGAGAGAGAUGUCAGAGAGUGAGAGAGAGAGGAUGCUUAAUUAGUAAUAAAUGAGUUGAGUCAUUAUAAAAUCCAAGAUCUUGAGAGGAAGAAAAAUGUUGAGAAUUUAUUUAUUAAAUAGAGAACUCAAAGGCGUACCUUCCCAUCCUGCACAUCCACAUUUACUUAGCAUGUAAUGCACAUUAAAUAUUUUCUUUCUGUUUUUGGGUAAGUACGAUCAACAUAUAUAGGAUAAGAUAAAAAUAAUAUCUAGUAAUUUCAUCUCCCUUUUUUCUUAAGAUUUUCAAAAGUUUAAUCUCUCUCCCGCGCUCAACCACAUAAAUCCAUAUUCGCAAUACUAAUAAGUUUUAAGGUUCAAUUGUUUGAUCUAUAUAAAAAAUUAUAUGUAGUUUGUUAAAAAAUGAAAAUGAACUAGAAGUACAAAAAGCCUAAGAAAUUCAAAGAUGUUCUUAUAAAAAAAAGAUAAUGAUAUUUUGUGAGACGGGAGUGUAGGGGCCUUAGCGAAAACAAUAUCUAAAAAUGGAGAAAAUAGCUUAGUGAAAUAACAAUUUGAGUGGGUAGAAAAUUCAAGAACAUGAGUUGAAAAAAAUGACGAGAAUUUGUUUACUACAUAGAAAAACUCAAAGGCGAACCUACCCAUCCUGCACACCCACUAUCACUUAGAAUGUAAUGCACAUUACAUAUUUUUCUUUCUAUUUUAGGGUGAGUACGAUUGACAUAUACUGGAGAAGAUAAAAAUAGUAUCAAGUAAUUUCGUGUACCUUUUUGCUUAGGAUUUUCAAAAUUGUUAUCCACCCCCUUACCCCCAACUACAUGCAUCCAUAUUCAAGAUACUAAUAAGUCUUAAGGUCUAAUAGUCAUAUCUAUAUAAGAAAUUAUAUCUAGUUAGUUACAAAAUGAAAAAGGGAUAAAAGAAAGAAACCAUAAGCAAUUCAAAGAUGUACUUUUAAAAAAGCUAUUGAUAUUUUGAGAGAGGAGAGUGGAGGGGCCUUACCAAGAACAACAUCAUAAAAUGGAGAAAAUAGCUUAGUAACAAAUGAUUUGAGUGCGCGGAAAAUUCAAGACCUUGAGAUUAAGAAAAAAGAUGAGAAUUUGUUUAUUAUAUAGAGAAACUCAAAAGCGUACCUACCCAUCCUACACAUCCACAUUCACUUAGCAUGUAAUGCACAUUUAAUAUUUUCUUUCUGUUUUAGGAUGAGUAUGAUUGACAUAUAGGGGAGUUAAAAAUAAUAUCAAGUAAUUUCGUCUAACUUUUUGCUUAGGAUUUUCGAAAGUUUAAACUCCUCUGCCCUCCCCCCCCCCCCCCCCCCUGCUUAACCACAUACAUCCAUAUUCGCAAUACUAAUAAAUCUUAAGGUCCAAUUGUCUGAUCUAUAUAAAAAAUUAUAUCUAGUUAGUCACAAAAUGAAAGUGGAAUAGAUGUAAGAAAAGCUUGAGAAAUUCAAAUAUGUACUUAUAAAAAAGCUAAUGAUAUUUUGUGAGAGGGCAGUGGACGGGCCUUAGCGAAAACAAUAUCUAAAAAUGGAGAAAAUAUCUUAGUAAGAAAAUGAUUUGAGCGGGUGGUAAAUUCAAGACCAUGAGAUGAGGAAAAAUGACGAGAAUUUGUUUAUUAUAUAGAAAAACUCAAAGGCGUACCUACCCAUCAUGAACACCCACAUCCACUUAGUAUGUCAUGCACAUUAAAUAUUUUCUUUCUAUUUUAGGGUGUACCGAUAUGCAUAUACUGGAGAAGAUAAAGAUAAUAUCAAGUAAUUUCGUGUACCUUUUUACCUAGGAUUUUCAUGAGUCUAAUCUCUUCUCCCCCCCUCCCCCCCAACUACACACAUUCAUAUUCGCGAUACUAAAAUGUCUUAAGGUCAAAUAGUCAGAUCUAUAUGAAAAACUUUAUGUAGUUAGUUACAACAUAACAAUGGAUUAGAAGUAAGAAAACCUUAGAAAAUUCAAAGAUGUACUUAUAAAAAAAUAUAAUGAUAUUUUGUAAGAGGGGAGUGGGGGGACCUUAGAGAAAACAACAACAACAACAUACCUGGUGUAUUCCUACAUAAUGGGGUCUGCGAAGGGUAAAGUGUACGCAGACCACACCACUACCUCAAUUAAGUUGAAAGGCUAUUUCUGAUAAACCACCAGCUCAGGACAGAUACUAGUAUAAAAAACAUAAAGCACAAAAGCAUAAAAGCAUAAAAACUAAUAUAGUAUGCAAAACAAACUAACACUGUGAUCUAAUACAAGAAACUAUACAACCACAAGAUAAUAGUAUAAACUAUCUAUACGAACAAGAAAAUCCGGACGCAAACAAAGUACUCCCUCUACUAUUAUGGGUGCACUCCUACCCUUAACUCUCUACCCUAAUCCACAUCCUCCACACCUUCCUAUCAAGAUUCAUGUCCUCUGUAAGCUGUAACUGCUCCAUAUCAUCCCUAAUCACCUUUCUCCAAUAUUUCUUUGUCCUACCUCUACUCUGCCUAAACCAUCCAUAGCCAGCGUCUCAUACCUCCAUACUAUAGAAUCUGAGCCCCUCUUUAUUAUGUGUUCGAGCCAAUAUAACCUCACUUCUCGUAUCUUAUCCUCCACUAAAGCCAAUUUCACCUUCACCUGAAUAAUCCCAUUCCUAACCUUAUCUAUUUUGGUAAGGCGACACAUCCAUCGUAACAUCCUCAUCUUUGCUACCUUUAAAUUUUAGAUGUGGGAGUUCUUAACUGGCCAACACUCUACUCCAUACAAUAUAGUCGGUCAAACUGGCACUUUGUAGAACUUAGCUCUGAGCUUCAAAGGUACCUUUUUAUUACACAAGACUCCCAAAGAGAGCCUCCAUUUCAACAACCCUACACCAAUAUAGUGCAUGACAUCCUUGUUAAUCUCACCAUUACCCUGCAUCAUAAACCCAGUGUAACGACCCGGAAAAUGGGUCCCAGAGCAUCACACGGUGCUUGAGGCUACAAGUAUCCCCAAGCUAAUCCUUUGAGCCAUUUUCAUUGAGUUCAACACAAAUCAAUGGGGUUUUCAUAAAUAACCCUCAAAUAUCAACAGAGUAAUCAUCAGCCAAGAAUAAAAGAAUUUCAUAAAGAUAACAAAAUACGACUUAUUAGUCUACUCCCAACAUCUAUACUAGUCUGACAAGCCUCUAAGAAAAUCAAUAAAACCAGCGAUCCAUUGAGACAUGCCCCAACUGACUCAUACUCAGUUGUCAAAUGUAAAUAAUUUUGUGAAACGAACAUCAGACAUUACGUCCUCGAAAUAUGUGGACUCACCACAACAGAGGAUGUAGAACAGCAUGCCCAAAGAAUCACUGUCGAACCUGGAACUGAGCACCUGAACCUACAUUCAGAGAAAAUGCAGCCCACAUCCGAAGAUGUGAGUCAGUACCAUGGAAAGGAACCCAGUAUAUAGGGGUGUAUGCAGUUGUAUAAACAUCAUCAUCAUAAAUAUUUAUAAGAAAUAUGCAGGAUGUAUGAAAGACUCACAUAGCCCGAAAAAAAUCAUCAUAAUCAUGAGAGGAUGAAAUAAGUACAAUAACACAUGUGAGUCAUCAUAUAAUUUGUCAAUCACUUUCAGUUCAUCAAGAAUAUCAAUUCUCAUAAUGUAAAUAUCACUUAAAUCUUUCGAAAGAAUAACUUUCACAAUUCAACUUUCAAAUCACUUCACCAUUCACCAUAGACACAAGAAAACACACAUACACUGGGAGAUCCUAUAACCAACAUAAACCAUGUGAGCUAUAUGGAGUCCAACGUAUAACCCAUGUUGGGGAGAGCCUUCCUUUCCUUGCCAUCGGAGUAGGACUAUCGAUAUCAAAUCCACACAAACUAGUGAUCACUAUAUAAAUCAGCCUCAGACUCACUCCUACGGGGGCACGUAGUUCUAGGGAAGUAAGGUCGCUUUAUACCUCCCACUCGGUGCUAAAUAUUUCUUCCGGACUUAGCUCAGAUCAUUUCAAAGACAAUCCACAACAAAACAAUUUCAAUAAUAUAUAAAUAUACAUCGGGAGCCAUCAUGCUUCCAAUCUAUCAAAANNNNNNNNNNNNNNNNNNNNNNNNNNNNNNNNNNNNNNNNNNNNNNNNNNNNNNNNNNNNNNNNNNNNNNNNNNNNNNNNNNNNNNNNNNNNNNNNNAAAUUUGUAAAAAUCAAAUAAAAAUCAUGCCUUUGUAAAGAAAAUUACUUUUGGGCACAAGAAUGAAAGAGAGUUCUUGUUGAAAAACCCCACAUACCUUGAAUGAUGAACUUUAGAUCGAUACUCAUUUUUGAGAUGUUAAUCGUGCCUUUGAAUGAUGGUUCUUGGAGUUCUUGAACUAGGAACUUGGAAUCUUGAAUAAAUUUGCAGAAUUAAUGGUGAACUUUGGAGGUUCUUGAAGUUGGAUGUAGGAGCUUAAGGUUUCUUUUUGAGGAGUUUGAUGAAAUAUAACAUAUAAUACUUUUAAUAGGCUUUAAUAUAGGGUUUGGAUGGAUUUUGGGUGAGGGGGAAUGACCAAAACGCCCCUAAAAAUCAAAAAAAUUCUCGAAUCUGUCCUUUGGUGGUCUGUUUUGAUAGUCUGAAGUAGAUCAACCAUAACGUUUUACUCCGAUAUUCAAAUUGGAUGAAACCAAUUUCAUUAGAAAUAGGACUCUCAUAUCUUUCCAUUGAUAUAUAGUAUCUCACCCAUAUCAUUGUGUACGAGGAUUUAUGAUCGUUUGAAGUUGACCAAAAAAUUCACUUUUGUUAGGCUGAAGUAGAUCGACCAUAACUUUUUGCUCCGAUAGAAAAAUUGUAUAAAACCAAUUUCAUUGGAAAGAGCACUCGCAGAGCUUUUCGUUGAUAUAUAGUAGAUCACCCAGAUCAUUAUGUACAAGGAGUUAUGAUCUUUUAAACUUGGAGCAAAAAUAUGCCAGAUCUCAGUACUUUUUCCUGCACGUUUUCUGUGCACUACUAUUCAAAACCAAUUUCAUUGGAAAGAGCACUCGCAGAGCUUUUCGUUGAUAUAUAGUAGAUCACCCAGAUCAUUAUGUACAAGGAGUUAUGAUCUUUUAAACUUGGAGCAAAAAUAUGCCAGAUCUCAGUACUUUUUCCUGCACGUUUUCUGUGCACUACUAUUCACGGUUCGAUCGGAAUGUUCAUAACUCAUCGCUCAGGUGUCCUUUUUGGAUGAUCCACAUAUCGUUGGAAAGAUUAUUUGAUUCUCUAUGGAAUGGUGGAUCAUAAUCUAAGACAUUUCGUACAGAAUAUUCAUAAUUCAUUCUAGAAGAUAGAACCCAACACGUUUAUGCAUAAAAUUUCAACGAAAAAUUUCCCGGGGUAUUACAUCAUCCCCCCCUUGGAAACAUUCAUCCUCGAAUGACGCUAUACAUGCCAAGAUUAGAUAGGGAAUAGAGCAUACAGCUGAAACCAUUCGUUAGACUCAUCACCAUAUCGUUUUUCACUCCGAAUGCAACAUAGAAUGCAUAAAUUCAAGAAACUACAGCUGAACACAUAAUAAAUGACAACUGAACUACUACAACUUUUAUCAAAAGUGAAUGAUUUAGGAAAGAACGGUAUAGCUUGAUCGGAGUUCACAAAAAAUAGGUGCGGGUACUUGGAUCGCAUAUCCACCUCAGCUUCCUAAGUUGCACCCUCUACAGAUUGGUUUCGCCACAACACCUUGACCAAGGGAACUUCUUUGUUCCUUAGUCUUAAGACACUGAAAUCAAGAAUCUCAAUAGGAAUCUCAUCAAAAGAAAUAUUUUCUUGAAUGUAAGCACUCACAGAAGAAUCCACUACCACAGCAUCGCUAAUAUGCUUUCUAAGCAUGGAGACAUGGAAUAUUGGAUGAACAGAGGACCACUCGGAAGGCAACUCGACUUCAUAAGCUACCUUACCAACACGGCUAAGAAUUUUGUGAGGACCAACAUAAUGGGGACUAAGCUUCCCCUUCUUUCCGAAUCUCUUCACCCCCCUCAUGGGUGAAAUUUUCAGAUACACUAGAUCACCAACUUCAAACUCAAGGUUUCUCCUUCUAACGUCCGCAAAUGAUUUCUGAUAAUCCUCAGCAGUAUAUGAAGUAUGAACAGGCAAGAAAUGAGCAAACUUAGUCAACCUAUCAAUCACAAUCCAAAUGGAAUCAUGAUGGCGUCGAGAAGGAGGUAAACAAAUCACGAAGUCCACAUUUAUCUCUUCCCCUUUCCAGGUGGGAAUACUAAACUCUUGCAUCAUACCACCAGGCCUUUGGUGUUCAACCUUAACCUGUUGGCAUGUUGCACACUUAUCUACAAAUGCUGCUAUAUCUUUCUUCAUGCCACUCCACCAAUAGAUUUCCCACAAGUCUCGGUACAUCUUGGUCGCACCAGGAUGAAUAGAAUAUCGCACCCCGUGUGCUUCAGCCAUAAUCCUCUNNNNNNNNNNNNAUCAACAUUCAGGACACACAAUCUACCCUGCAAUCUCAACACACCAUCUCCCCCUUGGGAGAAAACCUCUACUUUUUGGUCCUUGACUGACUCCUUCCAUCUGACCAAACUAGCAUCUAAGUAUUACUUUUCCUUCAGUUUCGAAACUAAGGAGGAUUUGGAACAACUCUGAACCCCUAUACUACCUUCAGCAAAGUCAAACAACCUUAGAAGCAUAAGCUAUCACCUUACCCUUCUGCAUUAAUACGCAACCCAACCUAACUCUCAAAGCAUCACAGUACACCAUAAAACCAUCAACACCAUCAGGCAAAGUAAAAAAAGGUGCUGAAGUGAGUCGAGCCUUCAACUCCUAAAAACUCUUCUCAUAAGAUUCGGACCACAAGAACUUCACUUUCUUUUGGGUCAACCAAUCAUAGAAGACACUAUAGAGGAGAAACCCUCAACAAAACGGAAGUAAUAGCCAACUAAACCCAAGAAACUUCAGAUAUCAGUCGGAGAAAUAGGUCUAGGCCAAUAUCUAACAGCUUCGGUCUUUUGGGGAUCAACUCUAAUACCCUCAGAAGAAAUGGUAUGACCAAAAAAGCAACUGACCUUAGCCAAAACUCACACUUACUGAACUUGGUAAACAACUUGUGAUCUCUAAGGGUUUGCAAGACAGUUCAAAGAUGAUCAGAAUGUUCAUCCUUACUAUGGGAUUACACCAGUAUAUCAUCGAUGAACACUAUGACAAACAUAUCCAGAUAUAAUCUGAACACUCGAUUCAUGAGGUCCGUGAAAGAUGCUGGGGCAUUAGUUAACCCGAAAGACAUAACAAGAAACUUAAAACGGCCAUAAUGAGUUCGAAAAGCAGUUUUUGGGAUGUCACACUCCCUAACUUUGAGUUGAUGAUAGCCGAAACGAAGGUCUAUCUUUGAGAAAUAACUUGCACCUUGCAAUUGGUCAAACAAAUCAUCUAUUCUUGGAAGGAGGUACUUAGUUUUGACGGUGACUUUAUUCAGUUGGCGGUAAUCAAUGCACAUACGCAAAGAGCCAUCUUUCUUUCUCACAAACAACAUAGGAGCACCCCAAGGAGAAACACUGGGCCUUAUGAAACCCUUAUCUAGUAGAUCUUUGAGUUGCUCUUUCAACUCCUUAAGUUCUGCAGGGGCUAUAUGGUAAAGAGAAAUAGGAAUAGGCUGAGUAUCAGGAAAAAGAUCAAUCCCGAACUCUAUCUCUCUAUCAGGAGGUAUCCCUGGAAGAUCAUCCAGAAUGACAUCAGAAAACUCAUUGACGAUGUUAACAGACUGGAGAGUUGGAGUCUCAGACUUAUUGUCUUUCACUCUAACCAAAUGAUAAAUAUACCCCUUGGAAAUAAGCUUUCUAGCUUUAAGGUAAGAGAUAAAAUGACUCUUGGGUGACACAGAAUUCCCAGACCACUCAAACACGGAUGCACCCAAAAACUAAAACUUGACCACUCGGGUCCGACAAUCAAUAAAGGCAUAAGAAGAAUACACCAGUCCAUACCCAGAAUCACAUCAAAAUCUACCAUGUCUAAAUCAAUCAGAUCAGCCAACAAGACUCUAUGAAGAACGGUAACAGGACACUUUUUAUACACUUUCUGAGCAACAAUCAAAUCACCAACUAAGGUAGAAACUAAGAUAGGCUUAGGAAUAAUCUCAGGACUCAUUUCAAAAUUCACAGCAAUCAAAGGUGUAACAUAUGAGAAACUGGAUCCAGGAUCCAACAAAGCAUACACAUCAAACUGAAAUAUACGAAGCAUACCAGUAACAACAUCGGGAGAGUCCUCUUAUUCCUGGUGAGACGGUAAAGCACAGAAUUUAUUCUGGCGCUGCCCGUCAGCAUUGCUAGAAUAGGCGCCCUGAGCAGGGGCUGGGCGAGUCACUAGAACUGGAGCACUAACAGUCUGAGUCUGGGUCUGAGGGCGAUAGUCACGACACCCUUGUCCGUCCUGUGGACAAUCUCUAACUCUGUGACCUAUGUCACCACACCUGAAACAACCCCUCUUCUCACCCCAACACUCACCCGAAUGAGCCCUACCAGACUUAGGACAUAGGGGACGAUUUGGCUUACUGCCAGCACUGUACUGGGACCUAGAUGCAUAUGACCUGGUACCUUACUCCUUCCUACGUCUAGGUAUAGGAGCACUAGUAGAUGAUGGUGCUGGCAUAGAUGAAUGAUCCUGAUACUGAGGGCGAUCCCUCCCUGUGAUCUAGUCUGACCCUGUUCAUGCUACUCGGACCUAGUGCUCUUAUUCCCUCUCAUUGUAUCUCUCUCCUUAAUCUUGUCUGCCUCAAUCUGUUGGGCAAGAGUCAUCAGCCUAGAAAGAUUCAUCUCACUACUUAGCAUAGCAGACCUACACUCCUUAACUAUGUAACUAGACACUUCAGUCACAAACUUACUCAUAUUAGCCCGAUUAUCAGCUACUAAUUCAGGAGCAUACUUGGCCAACUAAUUGAACUUUAGACAGUACUCCCUAACAGUCAUAGAGCCUUUCGUAGGUUCAUAAACUCUUCCACCUUCGCCUCCCUCAUCUCCAAAGGGAAAAACUUAUCCAGGAAUACAUCCUGGAACUCUUACCAAGUUGUAGGGAUAGCUCCCUUACCUCUACCUUUCCUCCAAGCAACAACCCAGUCAUAAGCAAUGUCUUUCAACCUAUAUGCAGCCAACUCCAUACUAUGUUUCUCAGAUACAUGCAUCACCUGAGUAAUCUUCCAUACUUCCUCUAAAAACAAUCGUGGAUCCUCAUCAGACUUGGACCCAUAGAAUUCCGAUGGAUUCAUCCACAUGAAGUCACGGAUCCUGGCAGCAGCUGAAUUACCUCCCUGCUGCUAUGGAGCCGGAGCCGGGUUGGCCUGAAUAUUUGAAGUAAUAGCUUAGGCCAGUGCCUGAAAGGCUACCCAAAAUUUAGCAUGAGACACAUUUUCAUUCAAUGGGUAGUGGGUUGAGGUUGCUGACCAUAAUUAUUUCUUCUCACUCGACGUGGAUGCAUGUUUCUGAAAGAGGAGAGUAUAAAUCAAUAGUAGAGUGAGACACUUUAAGCAUGAUAAACAUCUGAAAGAAAGAAUCACACUUUUUCCUAAAACAUCUUAUAGCCUCUUGCUCAUAGAUGUGGUGUGCUACACACCGAUGAUCAAGACUCUACUUAACGCGGCUUGUCAGACUCCCUAGGAUACCUUAAAAGCUUAGGCUCUGAUACCAAGUUUGUAACACCUCAAAAAAGGAGUCCUGGAGCGUCAUACGGUGCUUGAGGCUACGAGUAGCCCCAAGCUAAUCCUUUGAGCCAUUUUUUUUUCAGUUCAACACAAAUCAAAGGGUUUCCAUAAAUAACCCUCAAAUAUCAAUAGAGUAAUCAUCAUCCAAGAAUAAAAGAAUUUCAGAAAAGAUAACAAAAUAUGACUUAUUAAUCAACUCCUAAGAUCUAUACUACUCUGACAAGCUCUAAGAAAAUCAAUAAAACCAGCGAGCCAUUGAGACAUGCCCCAACUGACUCAUACUCAGUUAUCAAAUGUAAACAAUUCCGUGAAACCAAUAUCAGACAUCACGUCCUUGGAACAUAAGGACUCACCACAACAGAGGAUGUAGAACAGCGUGCCCAAAGAAUCACUAUCAAACCUGGAACUGAGCACCUGAACCUACAUUUCGAGAAAAUACAGCCCACAUCCGAAGAUGUAGGUCAUUACUAUGGAAAGGAACCAAGUAUAUAGGGGUGUAUGCAAUUGUAUAAACAUCAUCAUCAUAAAUAUUGAUAAGAAAUAUGCAGGAUGUAUGAAAGACUCACAUAUCCUGAAGAAAAUCAUCAUAAUCUUGAGAUGAUAAAAUAAGUACAAUAACACAUGUGAGUCAUCAUACAAUUUGUCAAUUACUUUCAGUUCAUCAAGAAUAUCAAUUCUCAUAAUGUAAAUGUCAUUUAAAUCUUUCAAAAGAAUAACUUUCACAAUUCCACUUUCAAAUCACUUCACCAUUCACCAGACAUAGGAAAUCACCAUUCACCAUAGACAUAGGAAACACACACACACUGGGAGAUCCUAUAACCGACAUAAACUAUGUGAGCUACUUGGAGUCCAAUAUACAACCCACAUUAGGGAGAGCCGUCCUAUCCUUUCCAUCGGAGUAGGACUAUCGAUAUCAAAUCCACACAAACUAGUGAUUACUAUAUAAAUCAGCCUCAAGGUCACUCCUAUGGGGGCGCAUAGUUCUAGGGAAGUAAGGUCACUUUAUACCUCCCACUUGGUGCUAAAGAUUUCUUUUGGACUUAGCUCAGAUCAUUUCAAAGACAAUCCACUACAAAAUAAUUUCAAUAAUAUAUAAAUAUACAUCGGGAACCAUCAUGCUUCCCAUCUAUCAAAAUCAACCACGUUGUGGAUUUCUUUGACACUCGAGUUCAAAACAACUCCAUUAAGACCAAAAGGUCAAAUCAUUCAAAAUAUCUCAAAUAUUCAACAUCAAUGUGCUUAUAACACAAACUUUCUAAAAAAAACACACAAUUUCCAAUGAGGAUUCACGACCCAAAUAUCAAAAUCAUGAUAAAUAUCAUUCCAGAUUCAUGCUUUAUAUCAUCACACAUUUAAAUUCAUCUUUCAAAAUUAUAAACAUCAAGAUUUCAUAAUAAUCAUCAUAAGAUAUGGUUUCAUGCUUUAAAUUCAUAAAAAUCAAAUAAAAAUCAUGCCUUUGUAAAGAAAAUUACUUUUGGGCACAAGAACGCAAGAAAGUUCUUGUUGAAAAAAUCCACAUACCUUGAAUGAUGAACUUUAGAUCGAUACUCAAAAUUCACUUUUGAUAGGCUGAAGUAGAUCGAUCAUAACUUUUGCUCUGAUAGACAAAUUGGAUGAAACCAAUUUCAUUAGAAAGAGAACUCUCAUAUAUUUCCAUUGAUAUAUAGUAUCUCACCCAGAUCAUUGUGUAUAAAGAGUUAUGAUCAUUUGAAGUUGACCCAAAAAUUCACUUUUGAUAGGCUGAAGUAGAUCGAUCAUAACUUUUGCUCUGAUAGACAAAUUGGAUGAAACCAAUUUCAUUAGAAAGAGAACUCUCAUAUAUUUCCAUUGAUAUAUAGUAUCUCACCCAGAUCAUUGUGUAUAAAGAGUUAUGAUCAUUUGAAGUUGACCCAAAAAUUCACUUUUGAUAGGCUGAAGUAGAUCGAUCAUAACUUUUGCUCUGAUAGACAAAUUGGAUGAAACCAAUUUCAUUGGAAAAAGGACUCGCAGAGCUUUCCGUUGAUAUAUAGUAGAUCACCCAGAUAAUUAUGUACAAGGAGUUAUGAUCGUUUAAUGUUGGAGCAAAAAUACGCCAGGCCUCAAUACUUUUUCCUGCCCAUUUUACUGUUCACUACUAUUCACGGUUCGAUUGGAAUGUUCAUAACUCAUCGCUCGGUUGUCCGUUUUGGUUGAUACACAUAUCGUUGGAAAUAUUAUUCAAUGCUCUAUGCAAUGGUGGGUCAUAAUCUAAGAUAUUUCACAUGGAAAAUUUAUAAUUCAUUCUAGAAGAUAGAACCCAACACGUUUACGCACAAAAUUUCAAUGAAAAAUUUCCCGGGGUAUUACACCCAGAUACUUGAAACUAUCCCUUUUAUGAAUAGCCUGAGAAUUAAGCUUCACUACCACAUUAGCCUCUUAUGAUGAAUCAUUGAACUUAUAUUCCAAGUUUUCUAUCUUGGUCACACUCAAUCGAAAUCCUUUAGACUUAAGGGUUCAUCUUCGAAUCACGACCUUAUCAUUAACUCCUCCUCGAGUCUCGUCAACCAGUACCAUAUCAUUAGUAAAUAACAUACACCAAGGCACCACUUCUUGAAUAUAUCACAUCAAAACAUCCAUCACCACGACAAAUAUAAAUGAGCUAAAAGUUUAUCCCUAUCAAAAUGGGAAAGUGCUCUGAAUCUCUACCUACCAUCCUCAUAUGAUUCUUUUUGCCAUCAUACAUGUCCUAAAUGACCUAAUGUACGCCACAGGCAACCCUCUAGCGUCAAAACACCUCCACAAAAUCUCCCUGGGGAAUGUCAUAUGCCUUCUCAAGAUCAAUAAAUACCAUGUGAAAUUCCUUCUUCCUCUUUCAGAACUACUCCACUAAUCUCCUCACUAGGUGAAUAGCCUCAGAAUUCGAGCGACCUGACAUGAAAUCGAACUGAUUCUCAAAGAUAGUUAGAAUCCUCCUCAACAUCAACUCUUCCACCCUUUUCCAAACCUUCAUAGUAUGAUUCAAUAACUUGAUACCCCAAUAGUUAUUGCAAUACUAAAUAACCCCCUUGUUUUUAUAUAACGGAAUCAUCGUGCUCCACCUCCAAGAUUUGGACAUCUUCACCGUCUUAAAAAUAAUGUUAAACAUCCUUAUCAACCACUCUAAACCUUCCCACCAAUGCUUUUAAAAAAAUCAAUUAAAAUCUCAUCUGGCCUAGUCACCCUGACCCUAUGCAUCCUGCUAAUAUACCCCUUGACAUCCUCAACCUUGAUACGCUUACAAUACUUAUAAUCAUGACACCUCUCAGAGUUUUCCAAGGCCCUCAUACGAAACCCUUUUUCCCUUCAUCAUUCAAAAAUUUAUGGAAAUAGGACUGCCGUUUCUUCCUAAUGAGGGCAUGCUCAACCAACAUUGUACCAUCCUCCUCUUUGAUUCACUUCACUUGGUAAAGGGCACGAUCCCUUUGCCACAUGGCCUUGGCAAGACUUUAUAUCUUUUUAUCCCCGCCUUUCUCCUCUAAAGCUGUAUAUAAGCUCCCAGAAGCUAUUGUCUUAGCCACCAUAACCACUAAAUUCUGCCUCUCCUCAUUAUCCUUUCUGUCAACCAGCUUAGCAUAAGCCACCUUCUUAGUCUCCAAGUUUCUCUUAACUUUUUCAUUCCACCACCAGUCCCCCCAGUGCUUUCUAAAUCAGCCUUUCUUGACACCCAACACAUCUUUACUAGUCUCCCUAAGGCAACUGGCUGUUGUUUCCCAUCCAUACCCUUUCUACUAUUCCAAGCCACUCUAGUCAUCAACUUUUCCCCAUUUCUAAAUCACUAGCUAAAAUCAAGCUAGCCCACUUAAUCUUGAGUCGAUCCUUCACUCUUUUUCAUUUUAUCCUUAUUGAUUAUUAGUCCAUCACCAACAACUUAUGUUGAGGCAAAAACUUUUUGCUAGGUAUGACUUUAAAGUCUCUACAAAUUGCUCUAUCACCCUUUCUAAUUAGCAAAAAAUCUAUUUGUGUCUUGGCCACCAAAAUACAAAAAGUAAUAAGGUGCUCCUCCCUCUUAGGGAAAUUCAAAUUUACUAUCCACAACCCAAAAUUCCUAGGAAUAUAAAAAAAAGAAGCUCAUCUUUCAUUUUGUUCCCCAUAAAUUGAAACCGUCAUGCACAUCAUCAUAGCCUCUCGAUAAAGACCGAAUAUGCUUAUUAAAAUCCCCUACAAUAACUAACAUCUUUGUUCUCCGAAUGUCUUUGACCACCUCAUCCAUAGCCUCCUAAAAGUUCUUCUUCUCCUCCUCAUCCGAUCCUGCUUGUGGAGUGUAGGUACUAAUAACGAUCAAAGUAAACCCUCCAAUGACCAAUCUAAUUGACAUCAACCAAUCAUUAAUUCACUUAACCUUCACCACCUGCCCCUUAAGUUCUUUAUCUACUAAGAUAUCUACUUCAUUCCUAUGUCUCACACUACCUGAGUACCACAACUUAUACUCGUCCCACAUCCCUCACCAUAGAGUCUACCCAUUUGGUUUCUUGGACACAAGCUAUACUAAUCCUCCUCUUCCUAAGAAUCUUCAUGAGCUUUAUGGACUUACCUUAAAGAGUCUUUAUGUUGUAAGACCCAAUUCUCAACUUGGAUUCUCCCUAACCCUACUACCCUUAACCUCUAACCCCAAACUCAAUCCUAGAUAUGCCCCUAACCUAUAACCCAGACCCUGCCCUUACCCUUGACCCUAAUCCUGGCCCCAACCUAUCCUUGAUCUAGAAUAGACGUCCUCCAUAGAUGCUACUUAAAAAGAGAUGAGAAAAAAACAUACAAAUUGGCAGGGCUAGAAAACAAAUAGGAAAGACUAAAAAGACACAAAGGGAAUAAUGAGAUAAAUCUAUAGGAAAAACCAAGAAACAACCAUGUACACCCAGGACCACAAAACCAAUAAACUAUAACACAAGUUUGACAAACAACAAUCAAUAACAAGAACUAUACCGGUCAUAACAACUCUGGUCAACUUUAGAAAGUAACCCCAAUACAAGUAGAAAAUACCAACACAUACAGUAGUAAAUAGAUAUACUAGUCUCAACUAACUCCUACUCAGUAAAAGAGGAAUAAAAACCAAUAAUCCCACUAGAGCAGUCAAGAUAACAGACAAUAAAUCAAGAGAGAAAGGACUAAGAAAUAGGUAUCAAAGAUGCAGGAUGUAUCCACCUUUAAUUAAUCAAGAACCUAGACCAGAUAAACUAGAAGAUAUGAAAUGAGUGCACCUAAUCCUAUGAGAAGAUAAAGUGAGGAUGUUUUCUUUCUCGUUUCAUCGGAUUCUGAAAAGUUGGUGGAGAAAUUGGUCGGAAGAAUAUUGCUGCCACUGCCUUUACUUACUAUUAAUAUUGACCCUGAACUUGAAUGUUAGAAAAUAAACUGGCCACUUAAAAGUGUACACCAUGAUCUGCCGGUAAAAUUUGGUGUCAGAGUACUACCUCUGUAUCUUCACUAGAAUGCCUUUGAAAAAUUGGAUUUGGGUUACCACUGUUUCUUGGUCAUUGCCGGAUCAUCGAUUCUAAUAGUGGAAUUAGUUUCUGUCUUGGUGAAAAAUAUGGGGUAUUGAUGGAGAUGGUAGUGACCAGUCAGAGAAGAGGCCAGAGAGAGAGAAGGAAUAGGAGAAAGAAAUAGGUUUAAGAUACUUGAGAGAACAUUACCUUACCUGCUACUGGCAAAAAUGAUAGUGACGGACUCAACUAUCGAUCGUUGAUGUUCGUAAAGGAAUGUUAUAGAGAUAUGUUUAAAGAGAGAGAGUCAGAGAGAGAGAAUGCUUAGUAAGAAUGAUUUGAGUGAAUGAAAAAUUCAAGAUCCUGAGAUGAAGAAAAAUGAUGAGAAUCUAUUUAUUAAAUAGAGUAACUUAAAGGUGUACCUACCCAUCCUGCACAUCCACAUUUACUUAGCAUGUAAUGCACAUUAAAUAUUUUAUUUCUAUUUUAGGGUGAGUACGCUUGACAUAUAUUGGAGAAGAUAAAAAUAAUAUCAAGUAAUUUUGUGUACCUUUUUGCUUAGGAUUUUCAAAAGCUUAAUCACUCCCCCACUCCCACCACAUGGAUCCAUAUUCGUGAUACAAAUAAGUCUUAAGGUCACAAACAGAUGCAAAUAUGUUUCAACAGAUGGUCCAUCUGUUCAAAGAACUCAAAACUCUUGCUAUUACUACUAGAUUACAAAUUUUUCCUUACGUCCAAUCAUCAACAUAUUUGUUGAGAAUAAGAAAUAGAUAGAAACAAUAAUUUUUUAUUAAACAAAAACAAAAUACAUUAGGUAGUUAGAUCGGAUAUAAAUAAAAAUAUAAAUAUAUACUCUAAAAGAAAAAACAUAACCUAAUUAUCAUCAUCAUCAUCAUUAUCAUCAUUAUUAUUGUCAGUUGUCCAAUCGACAACCGACAACAGCAGGGCUCUCCUCAACCUGCGAAACUCUCAGAGCAUCCUUACUCUCACAGCGCCCAACUCCCACUGCAGGUCGUUAACCCGCGUUUGAUGUUUUGCAAGGUGUCGCACAGAAUAGCAAUGUCCUCCAUAUCUAGAACAUGGAUGAAUUAACCAAAAACGUAAAACACAAGUAAAGAAAAGAGUUCAAAUGUAAUACAACGUGUAAUACCAAUUGAGUAGAUUUACAGAAAAAAAAAAAGAAAACAACUUACUGAGUCAGGGAAAAGGUAUCUGGUCUUUGAAGAGGAAGUGAUUGAAGAUGUAAUAUGAAAGACAAGAUGCAAGAAAUAAAUCGAGUGUAGUUGAAUGAACAAGUAAGAAGCAUCAAAUUUAUAGAGGAUUGAAUUUUAAUGAGUUAGUCAAAAAGGCAUGAUUGUUCACCUCCAUUUUAUUAAUUACAUUCAAACUGGUGACUUUUUUAUGAUUGCAAAAAGUUAUGACUUAAUUAAAUGAAGUUGCUGACUUUUUAAUUAUUGUGAUAGGUCAUAAAUUUUUAGCUUAUUAUUAUUAAUUAGUUUUUAAAUUUAAAUAACUUUUUUCUCAAUUAAAUAAUCAAAAACUUCUUACCUUUUCAAUAACCAUUUCUUUUAAUAAAAUAAUCCAAGUAUACAAAAGUUUGUGGAAAUAGACUGUAUAUCUGUUACAUCAGAUAACCCAUCUGUGGCAACAAAUAUACCAUCUGUUGCAAUAAUUCAACCAUCUAUUGCAACAUAUAAUCUAUCUGUUGCAACAUAUAAUCUAUCUGUUGUAAUAAUCAUCAUAUACUUUCAUUCAUCCAAAUUGGUUUUUAUUAUAUAAAUUAAAAAAAUAGAUUUAAAAACAAAAAUGGUGAAAAGUUAUUGCUUAUCGCUUAUUAAAUAUUAACAUCAAUUACUCAAAUUAAAUAACCAUAUUUUGACGAUUAUAAAUUGUGUUUAUUAUUUAUUUUCUUAUUAUUUUCUGUGAAAAGAAAUGACUUACUUAAAUCAAGAUGGUGAGUUUUUAAUUAUUGUGACAAGUUAUGACUUUUCAACUUAUUAUUAUUAAUUAGUUCUUAAAUUUAGAUAAUCUUUUUCUCAAUUAAAUAAUCGAAGACUUCUUACCUUUUCAAUAACCAUUUCUUUUAAUAAAAUAAUAACUGUUUUAUUGAGUUGUGACAAUAGAUUGUAUACUCUGUUGCAACAGAUUGUAUACUCUGUUGCAUCAGAUAACCCAUUUGUGGCAACAUAUAUACCGUCUAUUGCAAUAAAUUGACCAUCUAUUAAAGGAGAUUUUUUAAUUUCUUCUAACAACUGAUUCAUUAGUCUCAACAGAUGGAGAAUUUGAUUCAACAACUAUUUUGAAUGUGUUAGACCAAAAGUCAUGAUUGUUCACCUCUUUAUUGACAAUCAUCAUAUACCUUAAUUAAUCCAAAGUGGUGAGUUUUUUAUUAUAUAAUAAAUAAAUUUAAAAAUAGAUUUAAAACAAAAAUGAUGAAAAGACAUGACUUGUCGCCUAUUUAAUAUUAACAUCAAUUAUUAAAAUUAAAUAACUGUUUUUGUAUGGUUAUAAAUUGUGUUUAUUAUUAAUUUCCUUAUUAUUUAUUUAUCAACAGUUCUUCAUAUUAAAUAAUUGAAAAGUUAUGACUUUUCACCCUCUCAAUAACAGUAAUCCUUUUUUAUUAAGAACCGCCUAUUGCAAUAUAUGAUCCACCUGUCACAAUAGAUUAACCAUCUGUUGUAACAUAUAGUCCAUUCGUUGCAACAAACGCUCAAUCCCUACCUCACUGUCGAAAUGUUGAGAAUAAGAAGUAGAUAGAAUGAAAAUUAAGUAUUAAAUAAGAAUUAACAAUCAAAAGUUAACCAAACAUAGAUUUUUUAAAAUCCAUUAUAUACAAAUAUACAAUAAAAAACAAAACAUACAUUAGGUUCCUCCCUUAGGUAGACCCGAUAUAAUAAAAGAAAAUACAUACUCUAAAAGAAAAAAUAUAACCUAAUUAUUAUUAUUAUUUAAAAUAUUAUUAUCAACCAGUCAAUCGUCAUCUGGCAGCUACAGGGCCCUCUUCAGCCUUGCUCUUAUGUCACAUAACUUCGACUGGAGUUCAUGAAUCUGCCUUUCAAGUUUCCACAAGGAGUUGUGUAGAAUCACCUUUUCCAAUUCUGGAUCAGACAUAUCUAGAAAUGGAGUAGACUGAACGAGUAAGGAGGGACCUAGUUAUAAACGAUUGAAUUUGAAUGGGUUAGUCAAAAAUCCACGACUAUUCACCUCUUUUUUUAAUAAUUACAUCCCUUAAUUAAAUAAAACUGGUGACUUUUCGAAUAUGUAAAUUAAAAAACUUGAUCUAAUUACAACAUUUUAUCUUUAUUGUACUUCAAAACAAAAAGAGAAUUGCUUUAAAAUAAAUCUAAAAAAUGGGCAAUCCGUUGCAAAAUAUGUUCUACCGUUUGAUAAUUUACAACAUAUUUACAAUUUGUUGCAAUAGAUGUAUAUAUUUAUUUGAUUAUUUCCAGAAGAUAAGUUAUAUGUUGCAAUAGAUUGAUCAUUUUUUGUAACAUAUGUCUAUAAUUGUUUGAUAAUUUUAAUAGAUAUGUCAUCUGUUGCACCAGGUUAGUCAUCUGUCGCCAUAGAUGGGCUAGGAAGAAUAAGGUGCGUG
This 25497-nucleotide long non-coding RNA is filed under the name Capsicum annuum. RNAcentral describes it as "long non-coding RNA (CANN_LNC018469)". Lineage: Eukaryota; Viridiplantae; Streptophyta; Magnoliopsida; Solanales; Solanaceae. The record is from RNAcentral.